UCAGAUGACGCGGCGGCAUGCUUACACAUGCAAGUCGAACGGCAGCACGGGUGCUUGCACUGGUGGCGAGUGGCGAACGGGUGAGUAAUACAUCGGAACAUGUCCUGUAGUGGGGGAUAGCCCGGCGAAAGCCGGAUUAAUACCGCAUACGAUCUAUGGAUGAAAGCGGGGGACUUCGGGCCUCGCGCUAUAGGGUUGGCCGAUGGCUGAUAGCUAGUUGGUGGGGUAAAGGCCUACCAAGGCGACGAUCAGUAGCUGGUCUGAGAGGACGACCAGCCACACUGGGACUGAGACACGGCCCAGACUCCUACGGGAGGCAGCAGUGGGGAAUUUUGGACAAUGGGCGAAAGCCUGAUCCAGCAAUGCCGCGUGUGUGAAGAAGGCCUUCGGGUUGUAAAGCACUUUUGUCCGGAAAGAAAUCCUUGGCUCUAAUACAGUCGGGGGAUGACGGUACCGGAAGAAUAAGCACCGGCUAACUACGUGCCAGCAGCCGCGGUAAUACGUAGGGUGCAAGCGUUAAUCGGAAUUACUGGGCGUAAAGCGUGCGCAGGCGGUUUGCUAAGACCGAUGUGAAAUCCCCGGGCUCAACCUGGGAACUGCAUUGGUGACUGGCAGGCUAGAGUAUGGCAGAGGGGGGUAGAAUUCCACGUGUAGCAGUGAAAUGCGUAGAGAUGUGGAGGAAUACCGAUGGCGAAGGCAGCCCCCUGGGCCAAUACUGACGCUCAUGCACGAAAGCGUGGGGAGCAAACAGGAUUAGAUACCCUGGUAGUCCACGCCCUAAACGAUGUCAACUAGUUGUUGGGGAUUCAUUUCCUUAGUAACGUAGCUAACGCGUGAAGUUGACCGCCUGGGGAGUACGGUCGCAAGAUUAAAACUCAAAGGAAUUGACGGGGACCCGCACAAGCGGUGGAUGAUGUGGAUUAAUUCGAUGCAACGCGAAAAACCUUACCUACCCUUGACAUGGUCGGAAUCCUGAAGAGAUUCGGGAGUGCUCGAAAGAGAACCGGCGC
RNAcentral lists this ribosomal RNA (1010 nucleotides) under Burkholderia vietnamiensis. RNAcentral's name for it is "bacterial SSU rRNA". It matches the Rfam family "Bacterial small subunit ribosomal RNA", at positions 24 to 1033 of the family's 1533-position model. The record is from RNAcentral. Lineage: Bacteria; Pseudomonadati; Pseudomonadota; Betaproteobacteria; Burkholderiales; Burkholderiaceae.